This 1810-nucleotide long non-coding RNA is filed under the name Citrus sinensis (sweet orange). RNAcentral's name for it is "long non-coding RNA (CSIN_LNC000158)". Lineage: Eukaryota; Viridiplantae; Streptophyta; Magnoliopsida; Sapindales; Rutaceae. The record is from RNAcentral.
GAGAGAGAGAGAGAGAGAGAGAGAGAGCUGGACCUGUUAACCUGAAAACCCGACCCGAUUCCGCGAUAUUGACCCGACGAGUUCUCCCGUUUCCGGCCACCUUACCGGCCGUGCUUGGUACCGAUCUGAAGCUUGGAAGCUGACCGUCGUAUCCCCGUGGUCCUCGUCGCCGAAAACUGGCCAGAACGUCGGCGAUUGGAGCUCGAAAGUCACGGCCAAGAUCCUUUUCCGUCGCCGUUGAUUCCGCCGGGUUUGUGACGCGCCACCACUUGGAACUAGUUCUUCACAUCUUCAGCAACAAUUUCCGACCAACCACGAUCACCAGGGAGGCCGGAAAACCGCCGAACGAUCACCGGAAACUUACGGAUCUUUAGAGCUUCGAUCCGCCGCCGGUAGCGCGCGUGGCGACUCACGGCCACCACCAUUGCACUCACCGAGGUCGGAACUAGCAGACCUAAGCUCCCCGUCGUCGUUGACUGAAGUCCGGUCACCGUUGACCGGCGAGGGGCAAUUCGGUAAAUUCAUGGACUUUUGGGGGUGAUUGUGUAAUUUUAUGUAAAUAAUGGACAUUUUGGUAAUGUUGGUUGAGGGCAGUGAAGUAAUUUAUGCUUUCGAGGGUAAUUCGGGAAUUUAAGACGUUAAGGACAUUUCGGUAAUUUUACGAACUGAGGGUAAUUUCGUAAUUUCGGACAAUGUGAUUAAUUUAUGUAAUCUGGAUUGAGGACAAUAUGGUAAUUGACGAAUAUGAGGAUAAUUUGGUAAAAUAAUGAAGUUUGAGGAUAAGUUGGUAAAAUAUUGAUGUUGGGGGCGAAUAUGAGGAUAACUCCGAGGGUAAUUUCGUAAUUUUUGACAUUGUGGUUAUUUAUGUGAUCUGAAUUGAGGACCAUUUAGUAAUUGAAGAUUCUGAGGAUAAUUUGGUAAAAUAAUGAUGUUGGGGGCAUUUUAGUAAUUUUGGCAUGUAGGGGUAUUUUGGUAAUUUUGCACAUGCGGGAAUAGUUUAUUGUUGAUAAAUAUUCGUUUCGAGAUUUAUUAUAUAAAAUUGGUUGUAUUUCAAGUUUACGGAGAAUGUUUAUGUCGUUUCCCUGAUUAGGAGGAUCUGCGAACGAGAAUCAACCCGCGGACGUUGUUGAUACCGAGUCUAGACAUCAUCACUGUGAGUGGAAUAUACAAAACCUAUUUUCAUAGUAUAUGCUGAUUUUAUGAUAAGUAUUUAAUGCUUCGAUUAAAUGAUUUUCCGGUAAAUUAAUUUUUAUCUAUGUGAGUAAAGGCAUGAUAUUAGAAUUGAGCAGAUUUUGAGAUAUGUUGAAUAGAAAGAAAAUGAGAUUUCAUAUGAGAUUCUAUGUUUAUGUAUAUGUUAUUUUUGAAAUCAUUAGACAGUACCCUUCCCUCCAGAUACAGAGAAACAGAUAAUAUGAGAUGAGAAAAGAGAUACAGACAAGAGAUACAGAUAAGAUGAGAUAGAGGCCUUUGGGGCCCGUCGGGACACACAUAGAGGCUUUGGGCCGUGUGUUCGGGCGCUUUUGCCUUUUGGGGGCUUAUGCAUGCACAGUACAGAUAUAUGAGAUAAGAGAUAUGAGAUAUGAGAUAUGAGAUGAGAUCGUCCCCAUCUAUCCAUUGUAGCUCCGGGGAGUGACGUUACCCAGAUAGUACGUCAUUGCCCGUCCGUCGAGGUCCGGAUAUGAUCAGAUUAUUCCCUGGGUACUUGUUUGAUGACAGUUUUUAGUAUUCAGUAUUUGAUAUGAUGAGUAUUAUAUGAUUCCAUCGAUUUUAUACAAAUAUAUGUAUUAUAGUGUUUCAAUGAACUGAUUUG